Molecule: ribosomal RNA, 227 nt
Filed under: uncultured bacterium
Lineage: Bacteria
Description: partial 16S ribosomal RNA
Rfam family: Bacterial small subunit ribosomal RNA
Source: RNAcentral
CGGGUGAGUAAUGCUUGGGAAUAUGUCUUAUGUGGGGGACAACAGUUGGAAACGACUGCUAAUACCGCAUAACGACUACGGACCAAAGGGGGGGAUCUUCGGACCUCUCGCCAUUUGAUUAGCCCAAGUGAGAUUAGCUAGUUGGUGAGGUAAUGGCUCACCAAGGCGGCGAUCUCUAGCUGGUUUGAGAGGAUGAUCAGCCACACUGGGACUGAGACACGGCCCAG